CAGCCGCCGCGGUAAUACGGAGGGCGCGAGCGUUGUCCGGAUUUACUGGGCGUAAAGCGUGCGCAGGCGGCCCGUUAAGACAGGUGUGAAAUCCCUGGGCUCAACCUAGGAAUUGCGCUUGUGACUGGCGGGCUCGAGUACGGUAGAGGGGGGUGGAAUUCCUGGUGUAGCAGUGAAAUGCGUAGAGAUCAGGAGGAACACCGAUGGCGAAGGCAGCCCCCUGGGCCGGUACUGACGCUCAUGCACGAAAGCGUGGGGAGCAAACAGGAUUAGAUUCCCGGGUAGUCCACGCCCGAAACGAUGGGUACUAGCCGUUUGGUGCGCGAUAGCGCUGAGGGGCGAAGCUAACGCGUGAAGUACCCCGCCUGGGGAGUACGGCCGCAAGGUUGAAACUUAAAGGAAUUGGCGGG
RNAcentral lists this ribosomal RNA (410 nucleotides) under uncultured microorganism. RNAcentral's name for it is "bacterial SSU rRNA". It matches the Rfam family "Bacterial small subunit ribosomal RNA", at positions 509 to 917 of the family's 1533-position model. The record is from RNAcentral.